GUGCCCAGCCAAGUCAGCUCCCUGGGCCCCUUUCCUGUGGAGUCUGCUGUGCAGUGUCUGCAGACAGCAGUGACCCUAGCAGUGUAUGUAGCCCUUGCUCAUCUGGGUUGUCAAAGGGUCCUUGAAUCAGCC
Small nucleolar RNA from Arvicola amphibius (Eurasian water vole), 132 nucleotides. RefSeq annotates it as small nucleolar RNA SNORA70. The record is from RefSeq and is a predicted model, not a curated record. The transcript has a single exon. Lineage: Eukaryota; Metazoa; Chordata; Mammalia; Rodentia; Cricetidae.